GGCUAAUGCACCAUUCUUCUCUCAACCAGGAAGCCCCAGAACAAUGCCUGAGCAUGCGUGGACCUCAGAGCUCCAAAUAUGAUGGUGAUGAUUGUUACUAAUUUUGAGACAGGGUCUCACCCUGUUGGCCAGGUGUGAGGGCAGUGGCGCCAUCUCUGCUUACUGCAACCUCCACCUCUGAAGCGCAAGCAAUUCUCCUACCACACACUCCAGAAUGAGUAGGUGAAACAGCAGGAACUAGUGACCACGCCCAGCUAAUUUUUGUUGUUGUUGUUGUUAAAGAGAGGCAGUCUGGAACUCUAGUUCAAGUGAUUUGCCAGGUCGGCCACCCAAAAUGCUGGGAUAACAGGAAUAAGCCACUGUGCACGGUCUGAGAUACAAAUAUGAUUGAAAGGGAUGAUCAAACAGGCUGCUGCCUUCAUCUGGGUGUAACCAAUGUAAGAUGUAAGAAAGAUGUUAAAUCACGGAGAGAAAACACAACGCAACAAAAAAGAAACCAUGAACAGAGAAAAACACAACACAACACAAAGGAACCAUUUGCAAUGCAAGAUUUCCCAGGAAUGUGGGCUCUUAAGCACCCUCUCCACGGAGGCUGUGGGCCAGCUGCAUGUCUCUGGACAUAAUUGGGAAGCUCCUGGCAUGGAUGACACACAGUUUGGUAUCUUACAAAAGUUCUGAUGUAAAUGUGUUGCUGGAAAAGAGGGGUUUCACCAUGUUGUCCAGGUUGGUCUUGAACUCCUGACCUCAGGAGAUCCACCCACCUCGGCCUCCCAAAAUGCUGAGAUUACAGGCAUGAGCCACCACGCCAGACCAGUAAUUUC
This 821-nucleotide long non-coding RNA is filed under the name Pan troglodytes (chimpanzee). RNAcentral's name for it is "long non-coding RNA NONPTRT013457". The record is from RNAcentral. Lineage: Eukaryota; Metazoa; Chordata; Mammalia; Primates; Hominidae.